Molecule: ribosomal RNA, 530 nt
Filed under: Gigantiops destructor
Lineage: Eukaryota; Metazoa; Arthropoda; Insecta; Hymenoptera; Formicidae
Description: LSU rRNA
Source: RNAcentral
CCGUUCAGGGGUAAACCUAAGAAACCCAAAAGAUCGAACGGGGAGAUUCAUCGUCAGCGGCGCUGGCUUCGCGUCGGUGGGCGAUGUCCCGCGGAGUCCUCGCGGCUCGCGCGCGGGCACGCUACCGUGCGUCGAUGUCCGGCGCUCGUCGUCGUGCACUUCUCCCCAAGUAGAACGUCGCGACCCGCUGGGUGUCGGUCUACGGCCCGGGUGCGGUGACUGUCGCGUCGCCGGUAAAACGGCACGCGACAAACCCUCGGUCGCCCGGCCGGCUGCUCGGCGGUACGCGCAAGGUAUCAGGCCGCACUCGAUCAAUUUCUAUCGGUGCGUCGAGACCGUCGCAAGCGCGCGCCACGGUACUCGGAGGUUACGGACUUCGCGCCGUCCCCGGUCCUGGCCCGCUGNUGGUUAAAGUACGGUACACCUUCGACAGGCCUUCGAACGUCUCCCGGUAAAACGGGAGACCGAUACCGGUCGGCGACGCUACUGCUUUGGGUACUCUUAGGACCCGUCUUGAACACGGACCAAGG